RNAcentral lists this ribosomal RNA (387 nucleotides) under uncultured bacterium. Its description in RNAcentral is "bacterial SSU rRNA". It matches the Rfam family "Bacterial small subunit ribosomal RNA", at positions 306 to 710 of the family's 1533-position model. The record is from RNAcentral.
GGCCACAUUGGGACUGAGACACGGCCCAAACUCCUACGGGAGGCAGCAGUGGGGAAUAUUGCACAAUGGGGGAAACCCUGAUGCAGCGACGCCGCGUGAGCGAAGAAGUAUUUCGGUAUGUAAAGCUCUAUCAGCAGGGAAGAUAAUGACGGUACCUGACUAAGAAGCCCCGGCUAACUACGUGCCAGCAGCCGCGGUAAUACGUAGGGGGCAAGCGUUAUCCGGAUUUACUGGGUGUAAAGGGAGCGUAGACGGCAAGGCAAGUCUGAUGUGAAAACCCAGGGCUUAACCCUGGGACUGCAUUGGAAACUGUCUGGCUCGAGUGCCGGAGAGGUAAGCGGAAUUCCUAGUGUAGCGGUGAAAUGCGUAGAUAUUAGGAAGAACACC